AGUCAAAUUCCUCACCAGCCAAACCCACGCAGAAAGUCUCAAAUCUACAAUGGAGAUGUAAAUACAGUCAAUAAAAAUUGCGUAGUUAUUACGCAUAGUGAUUGCGCUUCUUUUUACGCGGUAACUCUUUAAACGAUUGGUUUGGCGUGAACGCUGCAACACAGAGCAACAUUGCAUUGCUAUCAACAUGCUGCAAACAGGAAAUCGGGUACCUUAAACGAUUAUUUUGUUAUGCAACACAUUACCUAUGUAAGACUUAGUCCGCUUAUUAGUAUAAACACUACAAACAACAUGCUAGCUUCGGUCGAUGUCUUUAACUACGCCACAGAAAGCUAGUCAAUAACUAUGUAUGUAACGUAAAAACAAGCGCAAAUAACAGAAACGUCCGAAAUGUCGCCGGACAAGUUGACAUGGACGCUGACGGGAGCUACAGUCGCCGGUGUUUUAGCGGUAUAUGUUCCCUGUGCUCCGCGGACUGUGCCCGGUGGAGACUCAGGAGAGUUGCUGACUGCUGCCUGUGAGCUGGGGGUGGCUCAUCCUCCAGGAUACCCCCUCUUCACCAUGCUCUCUUCUCUGAUGCUCUCACUUCUUCCUCUCAGUUCUCCGACACACAGUAUCAAUGUCUUGUGCGCUGUCUUUGGGGCCGGAGCAAGCGGGGCCCUCUGUUUUACUGUGUGCAGGGUGUCAGGGCCCGGUCCAGGGGCUGUCCUGGCAGGUGGAGUGUUUGCAGUGUCCAGGCUGGUAUGGCAGUGGUCAGUCAUGGCUGAAGUCUUCGCCCUUAAUAACUUGUUUGUGGGCGUCUUGUUCACCCUCUCUGCAUGUUUCCACUGUGCAGAAAGUGUUCAUCAGAAGAAGAAGUAUGCUCUGUGGGGGGCGCUGUGCUGUGGUUUGAGCCUGUGUAAUCAACAUACACUGGUCUUAUAUGUUGCUGUCAUAAUUUCCUGGGCGAUCCUGCACCUCUACACUCAUAAUGGAUUGUCCUUCUAUGGUCUGUUGUCUCUGGGGACGUGUUUUCUGGCUGGCUUCAUGCCCUACAUCUACCUGCCCAUUUCCUCCUAUCUGAACAGAGCUCGCUGGAGCUGGGGAGACCAGACAUCACUUAGUGGUCUGCUCACACACCUGAUCAGAGCUGAAUACGGCACCUUCAGUCUGGCAAAAACAGAAGAAAGCGUGGCCUUCAUGAAGAUGUUACAGGCUCAGUGGAAUCACUGUGUGAAUGAUCUGUCUACUCCAGUGCUAGUGUUGGUGGUGCUGAGCGUUCUCUUCUCUCUGAGGAACAGGGGGCGCUUUGUUUUUGUGUGGUUGAUACUCAUCAUGGUGAGCAUCUACUCUAUGUUUUUUGCCUGGAGAGCGAAUCUGGAUAUUGAGAAGCCACUGCUACUGGGGGUGGUGGAGCGGUUCUGGCUGCAGGCUGAUGCAGGGGUGUGUGUGCUUGCUGGUCUGGGUCUGAGCUGGACUUUGUGUUGGCUGAACAGGCGCCUGGGCUGGGGUGCUGUGUGGAACACGGGGGCCUGGAUUCUCACUGUAGGCCUCAUAUCAUACAUGAUCAAUUUAAACCAUAGAGAGUGUGAUCAAAGCAGCAAUGACGUUGUGGACCGGUUUGCUCGUGAGGUUGUGUUCUCAUUACCGGAAGGCUCGUUGGUGCUGACGCGAGGUGAUCUCCCUGGCAACACGCUGCGUUACCUUCACUACUGCCAGGGGCUCCGGCCAGACCUCAGCCUUGUCGACCAGGAGAUGAUGACGUAUGGCUGGUAUGUGGCGAAACUCCAGAAGCAUCUACCCAGAGUGAAGUUUCCUGGAGGUCGGUGGGAUCCUGUCAACAGUGCGGAAAAGAAAACCUUCAGUAUUGCACAGUUUCUCAAGCACAAUACGCACAGGCCUGUGUUUGUGUGUAUCGGCCUAAACGAGGGCGACCCCAGCUGGGAGAGGAGCUUCUCUCGUUGGCCCUGGGGUGUGUGUGAACAGCUGGUACCUGUCAAGACACCUUUUGAACCGGAGAAAUGGGCCCACCGUACACUUAACCUCUACAACUGGAGCCAGCCACACGACAGCUUCCAUCCUGGUUCCUGGGAGAGAGUCGCCAAUGAUGAGAUGUGGCAGGCCAGGAUGAAAACAGCCUUCUUUCUGUUUGACCUUGCUGAGAAGAUGGAGGGAGAAGCGCAAGCUCGUCUAUAUGAGAUUUCUUACAAUGUGAGGAGGAAAUGACAUCACACACCCUUCAUAAGAAUCAAAGUGUUUGCAAGGCAGGACUGUAUUGAUGUUCCUCAGACAUUCCUUUCCGUAUUCAUAUUUUUAUUCUACACGUUUGGUUAGUUUAGUACUAUUUGGAGACUUUCACCAUUAGCUGUGCUAUACAAUACAUUUUACACAUUCUAAGAAAUGUAAGAUUACAAUGAAUUUAAUUAGAAUCAGAUAUAGACUUGUUUACUAUGCUAAGAUGUUGGCUAUUAUGUUGAUUCUCAUGAAUGGCUGACUUUAAACUAAGCUUGCUUUAAAGGUCCAGUGUUUGAAAUUUAGCGGCAUCUAGCGGUCGGGUGUGCGAAUUGCAACCAACGGCUCACUCCACCCCUCCCUUUCAAAGCACUACGGUGGCUUCAGAAUUUUAAAGUUUUACUUAAUUAAUAUUGCAUAUAGGAAUUUAUAGUCUGUUUAAUAUUUGACCUGUGUUUCUCUCUCCUUUAUCUUAAAUGUGUGCUUUCACUGUGUGUGCGUGCGUGUCUGUGUGUGUGCUUGCGUGUCUAUGUCUAUGUGUGUUAGUACUUGUGCAUAUUGUGUGAGUGGAGUGUUUUGUAUGUGGGUAUGUCUGUUUUCACCUUUCUCUUGUUUUUACAGGUAUAACUUUAAUCUUUUUGCUUAUAGUCAAUAUGUCUCAUGUACAGCUGCUUUGUAACAAUGAAAAUUGUAAAAAGCGCUAUAUAAAUAAAGUUGAGUUGAGAGUUGAGUUGAGUUUAGCUUCACAGGACUAAUAUGUCGUCAUAUUUUCACUUCUUUGUUGAAGGAGAUAACGUAUUUACGAAAUGCGCUCUAUAGAGCAGUUUGUCCUUUUAGGGCUACUGUAGAAACAACAUGGUGAAUUCCAUGCAAGAGGAGCCGCGGUGUAUGUAGAUAGAAAAAGAUCAUUCCAAGCUGUAUUGUCAAAUAGUGGAUGCCCAGGUGUACUAUCCAGCCAACUGGGAUAAGAACCUGGCUUUGGCUGCCGAGCGUUUGCUGCGCUCAGGGGGCGGAAGUUCCAGUCCAGAC
This is an RNA transcript of Triplophysa rosa, 3240 nucleotides long. It is a transcript of the gene named transmembrane protein 260, with no coding region annotated. The record is from RefSeq and is a predicted model, not a curated record. Lineage: Eukaryota; Metazoa; Chordata; Actinopteri; Cypriniformes; Nemacheilidae. The transcript has 16 exons.